UACAGAGGGGGCAAGCGUUAUUCGGAAUUACUGGGCGUAAAGGGCGCGUAGGCGGUGCGAUAAGUCAGGCGUGAAAGGCCCGGGCUCAACCCGGGGACUGCGCUUGAUACUGUUGCGCUGUGAGUCCGGGAGAGGAUGGCGGAAUUCCCAGUGUAGAGGUGAAAUUCGUAGAUAUUGGGAAGAACACCGGUGGCGAAGGCGGCCAUCUGGACCGGCACUGACGCUGAGGCGCGAAAGCGUGGGGAGCAAACAGG
Molecule: ribosomal RNA, 254 nt
Filed under: uncultured bacterium
Lineage: Bacteria
Description: partial 16S ribosomal RNA
Rfam family: Bacterial small subunit ribosomal RNA
Source: RNAcentral